CCUACGGGUGGCAGCAGUGAGGAAUAUUGGUCAAUGGUCGGGAGACUGAACCAGCCAAGCCGCGUGAGGGAUGAAGGUACAGAGUAUCGUAAACCUCUUUUGUCAGGGAACAAAGGCGGGGACGUGUCCCCGGAUGCGUGUACCUGAAGAAAAAGCAUCGGCUAACUCCGUGCCAGCAGCCGCGGUAAUACGGAGGAUGCGAGCGUUAUCCGGAUUUAUUGGGGUUAAAGGGGGCGUAGGUGGGUCGUUAAGUCAGCGGUGAAAGUUUGGGGCUCAACCCUAAAACCGCCGUUGAAACUGGCAGUCUCGAGUAGGGUUGAGGUAGGCGGAAUGCGCGGUGUAGCGGUGAAAUGCAUAGAUAUCACGCAGAACUCCGAUUGCGAAGGCAGCAUACCAA
This 397-nucleotide ribosomal RNA is filed under the name uncultured bacterium. RNAcentral's name for it is "partial 16S ribosomal RNA". It matches the Rfam family "Bacterial small subunit ribosomal RNA", at positions 338 to 732 of the family's 1533-position model. The record is from RNAcentral.